Molecule: non-coding RNA, 397 nt
Organism: Gopherus flavomarginatus (Mexican gopher tortoise)
Lineage: Eukaryota; Metazoa; Chordata; Testudines; Testudinidae
Source: the annotation of a RefSeq genome assembly
CACAUUUGCCGAGCUCAUCUGGAUUCCCACCAUGGCCUGGGCCCCUCUGCUCCUCGUGCUGCUCACUUACUGCACAGGGUCCAACUCACAGCCCACUCUGACUCAACCACCCUCAGUGUCAGUAUCUCCGGGAAACACUGUGAAACUCUCCUGCGCCGUCAGCAGUAACAUGAACACCAUAGCCUGGACCCAACAGAAACCUGGGCAAGCCCCUCGCUUUGUGCUGUACGGUACCACCAGCAGAGGCGAUGGAAUCCCAGAUCGGUUCACUGGUUCCACCUCUGGCAAUGUAGGUUACUUAACCAUCACCAAUGCCCAAGUAGAGGACGAAGCUGAUUAUUACUGUAGCAUGUGGUACAGCAGUGGUAGAGUAACUCACAGUGAUAGAGUCAGAUGA